ACUUUCGCGGGGAGUUGAAAUCAGCUGGGGUGCCUAGUCUUUUUUGCGCGUUUUCUGGUUGUGGAGGGUGAUGUAGUGCGGGCGGUAGGUAGGGUAAAUAAAGGACAAGGACUGUCAGGAUGUUCUUCUGCUUUAGUCCCUUCCCCAAUCUCCCACUUUCAAACUGGUCUUCUGAGAUUCCCGCUUCCGGAUCUGCUUUUCUCCGAACUUCUCUGGACUGAGACCUGGCUGUCCCGUAAGGAUGCUGCAUCCUCUCACAUGGCUUCCAGCCACAGCUUGUGGAAGUUCCUGGCCUGAGAGUGAAUCCUAGCUGCAGCUGUGGCAACAGCGGAUCCUUUAACCCACUGUGCUGGACCAGGAAUCGAUCCUGCAUCUCUGCAGUGAACCAAACUGCCACAGUCAGGUUCUCAACCCACUGUGUCACAGUGGGAACUCCACCUUGUUCGUACUUUAAAUCAGAUUGUUGGUAUUUAGUGUACAUGUCUUGAGUUAUAUGUCAGCUUUCAUCAACCCUAGGGAGCUGCCAGCACCUGGGUAUUGAGGCCCCAAACUGAACUUUGAGAUUCUUUAAAGUAUUGAGGCCUCCUAGAAGUGGGUAGCCAGCCUUCCUCUGCAGGAAGCAGCUCUCUUGCCAUAUUCUGUUUCAAUCUACUCUCAUUGCAAAAGUCCUUUUCAAUCCUGUAACUCUUGGCUCUGCUGACAUUUUGAUGAACUGGACUCUAUUGUUCUUUCUCUCACCUGGGAAGAGAAGAGGUCAGACCUCUAAGGCAAAUAAAAAGGCCAAUCCCAAAGUGACUCAUCUUUGAAAACACUGGGUCAUUCCACACUUUUUCACACUUAAUUGAAAGCUGUCUUUGCAAAGCUUCACCAAGAGAUUUCCGCAGUGGCCUCAGCAUUUAGUAGCCCCAUAGACUGCCAGAGCAAAAGGGAACGGGAGGCAGUUUAAACCAUCUGUUCUAGAACAAGACAUCUGGUCUCGGGUCUGUGCCUUUGGUUGGGGCUCUUUGGGAACCAUCUGCCUCCCCAUCUGACAGAGCUGUUAUAAGCCAGGCACUGUCAAGUGUUAGGGAGACUAAGAGGAGAGGGUGCCCAAGCUGAAGUCAUCCUGGUAGUGAGCUUGGUUGUCUGGGAGAAUUGUGGGGCUAACCAGUUCCUGUAAACAUGUCUAUAGACACCCACACAUGCCCAGGGGCUUUAAACCAUCAAAAGUCUUUUAUUUCCAAGUGCCAACACUGGAUGUUGAGUUCUUGAGGAUAGUAAUAUACAUUUUCUAUUGCCAAGGUUGGCCAAGACUCUUGCCCUUUCUGUGUUAAAAGAAAAAAAAAAAAAA
Molecule: long non-coding RNA, 1330 nt
Filed under: Sus scrofa (pig)
Lineage: Eukaryota; Metazoa; Chordata; Mammalia; Artiodactyla; Suidae
Description: lncRNA (ENSSSCG00050026566.1)
Source: RNAcentral